CCUACGGGAGGCAGCAGUGAGGAAUAUUGGACAAUGGGCGCAAGCCUGAUCCAGCCAUGCCGCGUGCAGGAUGACGGUCCUAUGGAUUGUAAACUGCUUUUGUACAGGAAGAAACACUGGUUCGUGAACCAGCUUGACGGUACUGUAAGAAUAAGGAUCGGCUAACUCCGUGCCAGCAGCCGCGGUAAUACGGAGGAUCCAAGCGUUAUCCGGAAUCAUUGGGUUUAAAGGGUCCGUAGGCGGUUUGGUAAGUCAGUGGUGAAAGCCCAUCGCUCAACGGUGGAACGGCCAUUGAUACUGCCAGACUUGAAUUAUUAGGAAGUAACUAGAAUAUGUAGUGUAGCGGUGAAAUGCUUAGAGAUUACAUGGAAUACCAAUUGCGAAGGCAGGUUACUACUAAUUGAUUGACGCUGAUGGACGAAAGCGUGGGUAGCGAACAGGAUUAGAUACCCUGGUAGUCCACGCCGUAAACGAUGGAUACUAGCUGUUGGGAGCAAUCUCAGUGGCUAAGCGAAAGUGAUAAGUAUCCCACCUGGGGAGUACGUUCGCAAGAAUGAAAACUCAAAGGAAAUUGA
This 575-nucleotide ribosomal RNA is filed under the name uncultured bacterium. RNAcentral describes it as "bacterial SSU rRNA". It matches the Rfam family "Bacterial small subunit ribosomal RNA", at positions 338 to 913 of the family's 1533-position model. The record is from RNAcentral.